UGCUUUUGUAGUGUAAUCAAACACAUUACAUUUUCAAUGUAAAGAUAAGAAUUUAUUUCUUUUAAAGUAA
This 70-nucleotide transfer RNA is filed under the name Neogonodactylus oerstedii. RNAcentral's name for it is "tRNA-Glu". It matches the Rfam family "tRNA". From Rfam's summary of the family: Transfer RNA (tRNA) molecules are approximately 80 nucleotides in length. The record is from RNAcentral. Lineage: Eukaryota; Metazoa; Arthropoda; Malacostraca; Stomatopoda; Gonodactylidae.